AGCGAACGCUGGCGGCGUACUUAACACAUGCAAGUCAUACGGGGAUCGUCGGGUUAGCAAUAAUUCGGCGGUCCUAGUGGCGUACGGGUGAGUAACACGUGGGUAACCUGCCCUUGAGACCGGGAUACCCUCUCGAAAGGGAGGCUAAUACUGGAUACGUUCCCUGGGGCGCAAGACCUGGGGAGGAAAGGUGGCGCAAGCUGCCGCUCUUGGAGGGGCUCGCGGCCUAUCAGCUAGUUGGUGAGGUAACGGCUCACCAAGGCGAUGACGGGUAGCUGGUCUGAGAGGACGACCAGCCACACGGGAACUGAGACACGGUCCCGACUCCUACGGGAGGCAGCAGUGGGGAAUUUUCCGCAAUGGGCGAAAGCCUGACGGAGUGACGCCGCGUGGGGGACGAAGGCCUUCGGGUCGUAAACCCCUGUCAGAGGGAAAGAAGGGUGUCGGCGUGAACAGCGUCGGCACUUGACGGUACCUUCAGAGGAAGCCCCGGCCAACUCUGUGC
Molecule: ribosomal RNA, 505 nt
Filed under: uncultured bacterium
Lineage: Bacteria
Description: bacterial SSU rRNA
Rfam family: Bacterial small subunit ribosomal RNA
Source: RNAcentral